RNAcentral lists this small nuclear RNA (191 nucleotides) under Echinops telfairi (small Madagascar hedgehog). RNAcentral describes it as "U2 spliceosomal RNA (ENSETEG00000021820.1)". It matches the Rfam family "U2 spliceosomal RNA". Rfam says of the family: U2 is a small nuclear RNA (snRNA) component of the spliceosome (involved in pre-mRNA splicing). The record is from RNAcentral. Lineage: Eukaryota; Metazoa; Chordata; Mammalia; Afrosoricida; Tenrecidae.
ACCGCUUCUUUAGCCUUUUGGCUAAGAUCAAGUGUAGUAUUUGUUAUUAUCAGUUUAAUAUCUGAUAUGACCUUAUCUGAGGACAAUAUAUUAAAUGGAUUUUUGGAGCAGGGAGAUGGAAUAGGAGCUUGCUCCGUCCACUCCACGCAUUGACCUAGUAUUGCAGUACCUCCAGGAACGGUGCACCUCCU